This 509-nucleotide ribosomal RNA is filed under the name uncultured bacterium. RNAcentral's name for it is "partial 16S ribosomal RNA". It matches the Rfam family "Bacterial small subunit ribosomal RNA", at positions 28 to 506 of the family's 1533-position model. The record is from RNAcentral.
GACGAACGCUGGCGGCGUGCUUAACACAUGCAAGUCGAACGAAGAGCGACGGAAGCUUGCUUCUAUCAAUCUUAGUGGCGAACGGGUGAGUAACGCGUAAUCAACCUGCCCUUCAGAGGGGGACAACAGUUGGAAACGACUGCUAAUACCGCAUACGAUCUAACCUCGGCAUCGAGGAUAGAUGAAAGGUGGCCUCUACAUGUAAGCUAUCACUGAAGGAGGGGAUUGCGUCUGAUUAGCUAGUUGGAGGGGUAACGGCCCACCAAGGCGAUGAUCAGUAGCCGGUCUGAGAGGAUGAACGGCCACAAUGGGACUGAGACACGGCCCAGACUCCUACGGGAGGCAGCAGUGGGGAAUCUUCCGCAAUGGACGAAAGUCUGACGGAGCAACGCCGCGUGAGUGAUGACGGCCUUCGGGUUGUAAAGCUCUGUUAAUCGGGACGAAAGGCCUUCUUGCGAAUAGUGAGAAGGAUUGACGGUACCGGAAUAGAAAGCCACGGCUAACUACGU